GGCCGCCUGGCGAAAUGGCAUCGCGUCUGACUACGAUGAAGUCUUAUUGGAUGUAAUCGGGAAUCAGGAGAUUGCAGGUUCGACCCCUGCGGUGGUCA
Molecule: non-coding RNA, 98 nt
Organism: Mycena latifolia
Lineage: Eukaryota; Fungi; Basidiomycota; Agaricomycetes; Agaricales; Mycenaceae
Source: the annotation of a GenBank genome assembly